RNAcentral lists this ribosomal RNA (457 nucleotides) under Actinomyces sp. oral taxon E75. RNAcentral's name for it is "bacterial SSU rRNA". It matches the Rfam family "Bacterial small subunit ribosomal RNA", at positions 28 to 474 of the family's 1533-position model. The record is from RNAcentral. Lineage: Bacteria; Bacillati; Actinomycetota; Actinomycetes; Actinomycetales; Actinomycetaceae.
GACGAACGCUGGCGGCGUGCUUAACACAUGCAAGUCGAACGGUGAAGCGCCUUCCUUUUUGGUGGGUGUGGAUGAGUGGCGAACGGGUGAGUAACACGUGAGUAACCUGCCCCCUUCUUCUGGAUAACCGCAUGAAAGUGUGGCUAAUACGGGAUAUUCUGGGUCUGUCGCAUGAUGGGUCUGGGAAAGGUUUUUUUCUGGUGGGGGAUGGGCUCGCGGCCUAUCAGCUUGUUGGUGGGGUGAUGGCCUACCAAGGCGGUGACGGGUAGCCGGCCUGAGAGGGUGGACGGUCACACUGGGACUGAGACACGGCCCAGACUCCUACGGGAGGCAGCAGUGGGGAAUAUUGCACAAUGGGCGCAAGCCUGAUGCAGCGACGCCGCGUGAGGGAUGGAGGCCUUCGGGUUGUGAACCUCUUUCGCCAGUGAAGCAGGCCUGCCUCGUUUGUGGGUGGGUA